RNAcentral lists this ribosomal RNA (625 nucleotides) under Colletotrichum sp. GRMP-58. RNAcentral's name for it is "eukaryotic LSU rRNA". The stretch from base 157 to 310 matches the Rfam family "5.8S ribosomal RNA". The record is from RNAcentral. Lineage: Eukaryota; Fungi; Ascomycota; Sordariomycetes; Glomerellales; Glomerellaceae.
ACCCUUUGUGAACAUACCUAUAACUGUUGCUUCGGCGGGUAGGGUCUCCGUGACCCUCCCGGCCUCCCGCCCCCCCGGGCGGGUCGGCGCCCGCCGGAGGAUAACCAAACUCUGAUUUAACGACGUUUCUUCUGAGUGGUACAAGCAAAUAAUCAAAACUUUUAACAACGGAUCUCUUGGUUCUGGCAUCGAUGAAGAACGCAGCGAAAUGCGAUAAGUAAUGUGAAUUGCAGAAUUCAGUGAAUCAUCGAAUCUUUGAACGCACAUUGCGCCCGCCAGCAUUCUGGCGGGCAUGCCUGUUCGAGCGUCAUUUCAACCCUCAAGCUCUGCUUGGUGUUGGGGCCCUACAGCCGAUGUAGGCCCUCAAAGGUAGUGGCGGACCCUCCCGGAGCCUCCUUUGCGUAGUAACUUUACGUCUCGCACUGGGAUCCGGAGGGACUCUUGCCGUAAAACCCCCCAAUUUUCCAAAGGUUGACCUCGGAUCAGGUAGGAAUACCCGCUGAACUUAAGCAAUCAAAACCGGGGAAGAGAAAUUACUGAGUUUUACGCUCUACAACACUUUUGUGAACAUACCUAUACUGUUGCUUCGGCGGGUAGGGUCUCCGUGACCCUCCCGCCUCCCGCC